This 253-nucleotide ribosomal RNA is filed under the name uncultured bacterium. RNAcentral's name for it is "partial 16S ribosomal RNA". It matches the Rfam family "Bacterial small subunit ribosomal RNA", at positions 524 to 776 of the family's 1533-position model. The record is from RNAcentral.
UACGUAGGGUCCGAGCGUUGUCCGGAAUUACUGGGCGUAAAGAGCUCGUAGGUGGUUUGUCGCGUUGUCCGUGAAAUCCCACAACUCAAUUGUGGGUCUGCGGGCGAUACGGGCAGACUGGAGUACUGCAGGGGAGACUGGAAUUCCUGGUGUAGCGGUGGAAUGCGCAGAUAUCAGGAGGAACACCGGUGGCGAAGGCGGGUCUCUGGGCAGUAACUGACGCUGAGGAGCGAAAGCGUGGGGAGCGAACAGG